Molecule: ribosomal RNA, 503 nt
Filed under: uncultured bacterium
Lineage: Bacteria
Description: partial 16S ribosomal RNA
Rfam family: Bacterial small subunit ribosomal RNA
Source: RNAcentral
GACGAACGCUGGCGGCGUGCUUAACACAUGCAAGUCGAACGGUGAAGCGCUUUCCUUUUUGGUUGGUGUGGAUGAGUGGCGAACGGGUGAGUAACACGUGAGUAACCAGCCCCCUUCUUCUGGAUAACCGCAUGAAAGUGUGGCUAAUACGGGAUAUUCUGCGCCUGCUGCAUGGUGGGUGUGGGAAAGAUUGUGCCUUUGGGUGUUUUCGGUGGGGGAUGGGCUCGCGGCCUAUCAGCUUGUUGGUGGGGUGAUGGCCUACCAAGGCGGUGACGGGUAGCCGGCCUGAGAGGGUGGACGGUCACACUGGGACUGAGACACGGCCCAGACUCCUACGGGAGGCAGCAGUGGGGAAUAUUGCACAAUGGGCGCAAGCCUGAUGCAGCGACGCCGCGUGAGGGAUGGAGGCCUUCGGGUUGUGAACCUCUUUCGCCAGUGAAGCAGGCCUGCCCCUUGUGGGUGGGUUGACGGUAGCUGGAUAAGAAGCGCCGGCUAACUACGUG